UGCCUUUGUGUUGCCCAUUCACACUGCCUUUGGUGAAUGUGGUGUCAGAAAAGGCAUAUAUCAACUCUAGUUGUCAUGUUUCAUGAAUGGAUAUUCAAUUUUUUUCUGCAUUUCAGCUAGAACAUAC
Molecule: small nucleolar RNA, 127 nt
Organism: Pantherophis guttatus
Lineage: Eukaryota; Metazoa; Chordata; Lepidosauria; Squamata; Colubridae
Product: small nucleolar RNA SNORA13
Source: RefSeq, a predicted model, not a curated record